CAGGCAGCCCGAGGUCACCUCUCGACUUCUCUCCAUGAGAAGUUCCUGGGGACUCUGGCUUGGCCUGAGGCUCAAGGGUGAGACCUCAGGAGGGGCUGGCCCUGCAGGGUCAGGAAGGCAGUGUGGCCGGUGGGAUGUGUUUUGGGGACAGAGGGCAUUUCCUGGCAUCUUGCGCCCCCCCCCCCACCUGUAGCUGUGUGAGCCAGGAUUAGUCAGCUCACCCCUGGGCCUCAGAUUUCUCACUGGUCGAGUGGGUAUGGGAGCCCCCCCACAGGGUCCUACUCGAGUCUCCGAGGCCACCCAGGGCAAAGGUACACACAGGUCUGCGCUCCCCAGGGCUGGGUGGCCUCCCCCUCCCCUGUCCCCUCCCUGUGCAUGGUGGGACCCCAGAAGUGCUAUUCUAGAAGGAGUCUGAGACACGGUGACCAAGUCGGCCCCUGCUGCCCCACACCCUCGGCUGGUGUUCACCGCCUGAUGGAGCCGACUCAGGAACUUCUGUCCCCUGCCCAGACUGGCCUGCUGGCCAUGGCUGAGGUCCUGCAGGCUGGCAGCCCCGGUGAGUGAGGUAGCGUCUGUGCCGGGCCCUGGGGUUGGUGUCCGUGUGUCAAGGGUGCAGACGGAGCCAAGCGGUGCUAGGCAGCAGGAGCCGGGGUGGGAGGCCCUAGGUGACCUGUCCAGCCCCUUCCCCCAGGACGGCAGCCCUGGCCUGUGUGGCAAGACAGGACGCCUGAGCUGGCUCCUGCCCAGUGGGUGGGAGUCCCCAAGGGUGUCGGGAUCCUGUCAGCUCCACCGUCCUGUGGAGCAACAAGAGGUGUGCGCCCUGGGACUCAGGGUGGCUCCCACAGCCAGAGACACCAGGGAAUCGUGGGCAGUUCCAGGGACAAACAGACACAAACAGGCUGCAGCACCGAGACACGGGGCCUGGGGGGAGGGCGGAGGCCUCAGGUCAUCCAGCACUCCUGCAGGAGGCACAAACAGCAGUGACAGUGACGGUGACACAGUCUCUUGCUAGGAGCCAUGCAGGCUCAGAACUUGAGCCACAGGGUCUCACUCAGGCCCGGGGUGGACGGGAGGAGGCCCAGGCAGGGGUGGGAGUGAGGCUGGGAGGAGAGCAGGCAGGGCAAUCCUGCAGCUGAGCCCUGGGCCUCUGCAGAUCCACAGAUGGGGACCCCACGCCCUGCAGAGGGCGGGGCUGACAGGGGCAGGGCCAGCCUGCAGGCCUGCCCCUCUCCACAGGUGUGAAGGUGCAGGGGACACUGACACAUGGGAGGCAGGCCUGAGCACCAGAGGCCUGGCCCCACCUGCAGCCCUGGCAGAGUCAUGACAGGCUGGGGGCCACUGGCCAGCAUCUGCGACCUAUACACGCAGUGCACACACGGGAGGCCCACACUCCCGGGCCCCCCCCAUCACGCUCUCUCCCCUCUGUCAAUUGCAGCCCUGGGGAGACGCCAGCAGCCGCUCAGACAGCUCCCUCUCAGCUCGCCCUGCUGCCAGCUGGCACCACACCAGUUCCGACUGAGGCCAGAGGGAGGGACAGAACGCCAUGUCCACCCCAGCAGGAUGGCCCAUCUGUCCUGAUGGGUCGGCACCUGCCAAGACACCUUCCCCCACUGCUCUGAGAGCAGGGAGGCUGCUUGGGACAUCCCUGGCCACCUGGGGGUGGCAGCUCAUGACACCAAGGGGGUGGGCAGUUCUAAGUACAUGUCCCCAAAGCGUUGUCCAGGCAUUGUCUUACACAAGGCCCAGUGCUGGUCACUGGGGGCAUUGGGGACCCUCCUAACAGGGCCAACCAAGAGCUAUGGAGGGGUAACCUCCCUGCCCCCUGGAAGUGCUGCUGUGAAUGGUUCCCUCGAGAA
This 1856-nucleotide long non-coding RNA is filed under the name Marmota monax (woodchuck). Lineage: Eukaryota; Metazoa; Chordata; Mammalia; Rodentia; Sciuridae. The record is from RNAcentral.